This 468-nucleotide ribosomal RNA is filed under the name uncultured bacterium. Its description in RNAcentral is "partial 16S ribosomal RNA". It matches the Rfam family "Bacterial small subunit ribosomal RNA", at positions 28 to 507 of the family's 1533-position model. The record is from RNAcentral.
GACGAACGCUGGCGGCGUGCUUAACACAUGCAAGUCGAACGGAAAGGCCCAGCUUUUGUGGGGUGCUCGAGUGGCGAACGGGUGAGUAACACGUGAGUAACCUGCCCUUGACUUUGGGAUAACUUCAGGAAACUGGGGCUAAUACCGGAUAGGAGCUCCUGCUGCAUGGUGGGGGUUGGAAAGUUUCGGCGGUUGGGGAUGGACUCGCGGCUUAUCAGCUUGUUGGUGGGGUAGUGGCUUACCAAGGCUUUGACGGGUAGCCGGCCUGAGAGGGUGACCGGCCACAUUGGGACUGAGAUACGGCCCAGACUCCUACGGGAGGCAGCAGUGGGGAAUAUUGCACAAUGGGCGGAAGCCUGAUGCAGCAACGCCGCGUGCGGGAUGACGGCCUUCGGGUUGUAAACCGCUUUCGCCUGUGACGAAGCGUGAGUGGCGGUAAUGGGUAAAGAAGCACCGGCUAACUACGUG